GACGAACGCUGGCGGCGUGCUUAACACAUGCAAGUCGAACGGAAAGGCCCUGCUUGCAGGGUACUCGAGUGUCGAACGGGUGAGUAACACGUGUGUGAUCUGCCCUGCAUUUCGGGAUAAGCCUGGGAAACUGGGUCGAUUACCCGAUAUGAGCCAUCUUUAUGGUGGGGGUUGGAAAGUUUUUUCGGUGGAGGGUGGGCUCGCGGCCUAUCAGCUUGUUGGUUGGGUAAGGGCCUACCAAGGCGGCGUCGGGUAGGCGGCCUGAGGGGGUGGACGGCCACAUUGGGACUGGGAUACGGCCCCGACUCCUACGGGGGGCAGCAGUGGGGAAUAUUGCACCAUGGGCGCGAGCCUGAUGCAGCGACGCCGCGGGGGGGAUGACGGCCUUCGGGUUGUAAACCCCUUUCGCUAGGGACGAAGCUUUUUGUGACGGUACCUAGAUAAGAAGCACCGGCUAACUACGUG
RNAcentral lists this ribosomal RNA (465 nucleotides) under uncultured bacterium. Its description in RNAcentral is "partial 16S ribosomal RNA". It matches the Rfam family "Bacterial small subunit ribosomal RNA", at positions 28 to 507 of the family's 1533-position model. The record is from RNAcentral.